AUUGAACGCUGGCGGCAGGCCUAACACAUGCAAGUCGAGCGAGCGGCGGACGGGUGAGUAAUGUAUGGGGAUCUGCCCGAUAGAGGGGGAUAACUACUGGAAACGGUGGCUAAUACCGCAUACUAUCGGAUGAACCCAUAUGGGAUUAGCUAGUAGGUGGGGUAAAGGCUCACCUAGGCGACGAUCCCUAGCUGGUCUGAGAGGAUGAUCAGCCAAACGGGAAUGGAUACACGGAACAGACUCCUAGGGGAGGAAGAAGGGGGGAAUAUUGCACAAGGGGCGCAAGCCUGAAGGAGCAAUGCCGCGUGUAUGAAGAAGGCCUUCGGGUUGUAAAGUACUUUCAGCGGGGAGGCGUUACCCAAAGAAGAAGCACCGGCUAACUCCGUGCCAGCCGCGGCGGUAAGUC
RNAcentral lists this ribosomal RNA (406 nucleotides) under uncultured bacterium. RNAcentral describes it as "partial 16S ribosomal RNA". It matches the Rfam family "Bacterial small subunit ribosomal RNA", at positions 29 to 526 of the family's 1533-position model. The record is from RNAcentral.